RNAcentral lists this transfer RNA (80 nucleotides) under Stratiformator vulcanicus. RNAcentral describes it as "Planctomycetes bacterium Pan189 tRNA-Tyr". The record is from RNAcentral. Lineage: Bacteria; Pseudomonadati; Planctomycetota; Planctomycetia; Planctomycetales; Planctomycetaceae.
GGGAGCGCUUGAAUGUCGGAAUUCUCCCGGGCUGUAACCCCGGUGUCUCGUGCUAAGCGGUUCGAUUCCGUACGCGCCCA